CUGCUGCCUCCCGUAGGAGUCUGGGCCGUGUCUCAGUCCCAGUGUGGCCGUCCGCCCUCUCAGGCCGGCUACUGAUCGUCGCUUUGGUAGGCCGUUACCCUGCCAACUGGCUAAUCAGACGCGGGCCCAUCCUGUACCACCGGAGUUUUCAGGAAAAGCCAUGCGGCUUCUCCCGUUAUGCGGUAUUAGCACCUAUUUCUAAGUGUUAUCCCCUGUACAGGCCAGGUUGCCCACGCGUUACUCACCCGUCCGCCACUCA
RNAcentral lists this ribosomal RNA (259 nucleotides) under uncultured bacterium. Its description in RNAcentral is "partial 16S ribosomal RNA". The record is from RNAcentral.